AUACGUAGGUGGCAAGCGUUGUCCGGAUUUAUUGGGCGUAAAGCGAGCGCAGGCGGUUUCUUAAGUCUGAUGUGAAAGCCCCCGGCUCAACCGGGGAGGGUCAUUGGAAACUGGGAGACUUGAGUGCAGAAGAGGAGAGUGGAAUUCCAUGUGUAGCGGUGAAAUGCGUAGAUAUAUGGAGGAACACCAGUGGCGAAGGCGACUCUCUGGUCUGUAACUGACGCUGAGGCUCGAAAGCGUGGGGAGCAAACAGGAUUAGAUACCCUGGUAGUCCACGCCGUAAACGAUGAGUGCUAAGUGUUGGAGGGUUUCCGCCCUUCAGUGCUGCAGCUAACGCAUUAAGCCCUCCGCCUGGGGAGUACGACCGCAAGGUUGAAACUCAAAGGAAUUGACGGGG
RNAcentral lists this ribosomal RNA (397 nucleotides) under uncultured bacterium. RNAcentral's name for it is "partial 16S ribosomal RNA". It matches the Rfam family "Bacterial small subunit ribosomal RNA", at positions 523 to 918 of the family's 1533-position model. The record is from RNAcentral.